Long non-coding RNA from Neogale vison (American mink), 934 nucleotides. RefSeq lists it as uncharacterized. The record is from RefSeq and is a predicted model, not a curated record. Lineage: Eukaryota; Metazoa; Chordata; Mammalia; Carnivora; Mustelidae. The transcript has 3 exons.
GGUUUUCACAUUUAUUUCUAAAUGUUUCUUGUAAUUUCUUCCGUGUGUGGUAUUGUGCUUUUUAUUCUUAUUAUUGAAGAAUUACCUGGUGUGUGUUUCUUAAUUUUCAAGGAGUUCAGGAAAAGAAAUACUCACCUUUUACAUUCAGUUCCUUAUAGCAAGUUGAAGGAUGAGGAAGAGAAAAUUAAGGUGGAUCAAGAAUGUGCUCAGAAUCUCGUCUGAAGAUUUCUGCAUCAGUAACUGAGGAGCAAAGGAAAUCUACCCGGUGGCCCUCCAGCAGAUUUCUCCAUGUAUCUAACUGGCCACAACAUUGCCUCCCUACAUUUAAUGGAUGUUGAGAAAUCCCCAGCUCCCGGGAAGAUCUGAAAUCACCCUUCAUCCUUAUCACUGCUGCCUUCUCCCAACUGGAUCCCUUCUCAUUCGCUGAAGACGGUGAAGCUGGGCUCACUUUUGCUCUCUCCAUCCCGAUUCCCACUGCCAUCUAUGUGACUUGAACGUCCACUCAGACAACUCUGAUGACAGCGCACCCCCCGGGUGCCUCAACUACCUCGGCUCUGAUGCUCCUUUCCUCCACGCGUGCGUGUGCACGCGCACACACACACACACACACUCUCAAAUAUUUGCUGACACCAUGUAGAUAAUGGGCCCAUUUAGUGAGGUUUCAUUUGUCUUUAAAACUAUGAUACCUGUAACUAGAGUAACCAUAUAAUUUAUUUUCCAAACAGGGACAAUUUUGUGAAUGAGAGAGGACACCAAAAUAAUUCAGAUUGUAUUACUUUUGGAAAUACUUAUUUAUGACAAAUUGGCUUUUGUAUUAAGGCCCUUUACUUUUGAAUAUAAAGUAAUUAUAUUCAAAAGCUAUUUUCCAAAAUAAAUUUUCCUUCAAUUAAAACAUUUACAUGUCUACACUAAAAAGACAUUGAAAAAAACUCUU